RNAcentral lists this ribosomal RNA (274 nucleotides) under uncultured bacterium. RNAcentral's name for it is "partial 16S ribosomal RNA". It matches the Rfam family "Bacterial small subunit ribosomal RNA", at positions 523 to 796 of the family's 1533-position model. The record is from RNAcentral.
CUACGGAGGGUGCGAGCGCUAAUCGGAAUUACGGGGCGUAAAGCGCGCGUAGGCGGUUUGUUAAGUCGGAUGUGAAAUCCCCGGGCUCAACCUGGGACCUGCAUCCGAUACUGGCAGGCUAGAGUCUGGUAGAGGGGGGUAGAAUUCCUGGUGUAGCGGUGAAAUGCGUAGAUAUCAGGAGGAAUACCAGUGACGAAGGCGGCCCCCUGGACUGAGACUGACGCUGAGGUGCGAAAGCGUGGGGAGCAAACAGGAUUAGAAACCCUAGUAGUCC